UACGUAGGGUGCGAGCGUUGUCCGGAAUUAUUGGGCGUAAAGGGCUCGUAGGCGGUUUGUCACGUCGGGAGUGAAAACUCGGGGCUUAACCCCGAGCCUGCUUCCGAUACGGGCAGACUAGAGGCAUGCAGGGGAGAACGGAAUUCCUGGUGUAGCGGUGAAAUGCGCAGAUAUCAGGAGGAACACCGGUGGCGAAGGCGGUUCUCUGGGCCGUAACUGACGCUGAGGAGCGAAAGCGUGGGGAGCGAACAGG
This 253-nucleotide ribosomal RNA is filed under the name uncultured bacterium. RNAcentral's name for it is "partial 16S ribosomal RNA". It matches the Rfam family "Bacterial small subunit ribosomal RNA", at positions 524 to 776 of the family's 1533-position model. The record is from RNAcentral.